This 454-nucleotide ribosomal RNA is filed under the name uncultured bacterium. RNAcentral describes it as "bacterial SSU rRNA". It matches the Rfam family "Bacterial small subunit ribosomal RNA", at positions 340 to 784 of the family's 1533-position model. The record is from RNAcentral.
UACGGAAGGCAGCAGUGGGGAAUAUUGCACAAUGGGCGCAAGCCUGAUGCAGCCAUGCCGCGUGUAUGAAGAAGGCCUUCGGGUUGUAAAGUACUUUCAGUCGUGAGGAAGGUGUUAAGGUUAAUAACCUUAGCAAUUGACGUUAGCGACAGAAGAAGCACCGGCUAACUCCGUGCCAGCAGCCGCGGUAAUACGGAGGGUGCGAGCGUUAAUCGGAAUUACUGGGCGUAAAGGGCACGCAGGCGGUUAAUUAAGUUGGAUGUGAAAUCCCCGGGCUUAACCUGGGAAUGGCAUUCAAGACUGGUUAGCUAGAGUCUUGUAGAGGGGGUAGAAUUCCGAUGUGUAGCGGUGAAAUGCGUAGAGAUGUGGAGGAAUACCGGUGGCGAACGGCGGCCCCUGGACAAAGACUGACGCUCAUGUGCGAAAGCGUGGGGAGCAAACGAGGGAUUAGAUA